CAGCAGCCGCGGUAAUACGGAGGGUGCUAGCGUUGUUCGGAAUUAUUGGGCGUAAAGCGUACGUAGGCUGUUUCGUAAGUCAGUUGUGAAAGCCCAGGGCUCAACCUUGGAACUGCAAUUGAAACUGCGAGACUAGAGUGUAAUUGGAGAUGGCAGAAUUCUUAGUGAGGGGGUGAAAUCCGUAGAUAUUAGAAGGAAUACCAGCAGUGAAGACGGCUAUCUUGGUUAUAACUGACGCUAAGGUACGAAGGUAUGGGUAGCGAACGGGAUUAGAUACCCCGGUAGUCCAUCCAGUAAACGAUGAAUAUUAAGUGUUCGGAUUUUAGAUCUGAGUGCUAAAGCUAACGCGUUAAGUAUUCCGCCUGGGGAUUACGGUCGCAAGACUAAAACUCAAAGGAAUUGACGGGGACCCGCACAAGCGGUGGAACAUGUGGUUUAAUUCGAUGCUACGCGAAAAACCUUACCAGCUUUUGACAUCCCGAUUCCGGAGAAUAGAGAUAUUUUCCUUCAGUUCGGCUGGAUCGGAGACAGGUGUUGCAUGGCUGUUGUCGGCUCGUGCCGUGAGGUGUUAGGUUAAGUCCUUUAACGAGCGCAACCCUCAUUCUUAUAUGCCAUCGGGUAAUGCCGGGAACUAUAAGAAAACUGCCAGUGAUAAAUUGGAGGAAGGUGGGGACGACUUCAAGUCAUCAUGGCCCUUAUAAGCUGGGCUACACACAUGUUACAAUGGGAGUUACAAAAGGAAGUGAAAGAGUGAUCUGGAACCAAUCCUUAAAAGCUCUCUCAGUUCAGAUUGCAGGCUGCAACUCGCCUGCAUGAAGUUGGAAUCGCUAGUAAUCGUGGAUCAGCACGCCACGGUGAAUACGUUCUCGGGUCUUGUACACACUGCCCGUCAAGCCAUGGAAGUUCUUUUUGCCCGAAUUGGGUGAGCUAACUCGCAAGAGAGGUAGCCUAACACGGUGGGGGGGAUGACUGGGGUUAAGUCGUAACAAGGUAACCGUA
RNAcentral lists this ribosomal RNA (999 nucleotides) under uncultured Alphaproteobacteria bacterium. Its description in RNAcentral is "bacterial SSU rRNA". It matches the Rfam family "Bacterial small subunit ribosomal RNA", at positions 509 to 1504 of the family's 1533-position model. The record is from RNAcentral. Lineage: Bacteria; Pseudomonadati; Pseudomonadota; Alphaproteobacteria.